AAAAUGGAACACUCACAAAUGUAGUGGCACAAUUGAAAAAAUCUUCAUUUUUUUUCAAUUGUGCCACUACAUUUGUGAGUGUUCCAUUUU
Molecule: non-coding RNA, 90 nt
Organism: Pelobates cultripes (western spadefoot toad)
Lineage: Eukaryota; Metazoa; Chordata; Amphibia; Anura; Pelobatidae
Source: the annotation of a GenBank genome assembly